CUUUAAGGGUCCUGAAGGAACGUUGAAGACGACAACGUUGAUAGGCCGGGUGUGUAAGCGCAGCGAUGCGUUGAGCUAACCGGUACUAAUGAACCGUGAGGCUUAACCUU
Molecule: ribosomal RNA, 110 nt
Filed under: Escherichia coli
Lineage: Bacteria; Pseudomonadati; Pseudomonadota; Gammaproteobacteria; Enterobacterales; Enterobacteriaceae
Description: partial 23S ribosomal RNA
Rfam family: Bacterial large subunit ribosomal RNA
Source: RNAcentral